This 928-nucleotide ribosomal RNA is filed under the name uncultured organism. Its description in RNAcentral is "SSU rRNA". It matches the Rfam family "Bacterial small subunit ribosomal RNA", at positions 505 to 1432 of the family's 1533-position model. The record is from RNAcentral.
GUGCCAGCAGCCGCGGUAAUACGUAUGUCACAAGCGUUAUCCGGAUUUAUUGGGCGUAAAGCGCGUCUAGGUGGUUAUGUAAGUCUGAUGUGAAAAUGCACGGCUCAACUCUGUAUUGCGUUGGAAACUGCAUGACUAGUGUACUGGAGAGGUAAGCGGAACUACAAGUGUAGAGGUGAAAUUCGUAGAUAUUUGUAGGAAUGCCGAUGGGGAAGCCAGCUUACUGGACAGAUACUGACGCUAAAGCGCGAAAGCGUGGGUAGCAAACAGGAUUAGAUACCCUGGUAGUCCACGCCGUAAACGAUGAUUACUAGGUGUUGGGGGACGAACCUCACCGCCCAAGCUAACGCGAUAAGUAAUCCGCCUGGGGAGUCCGUGCGCAAGUAUGAAACUCAAAGGAAUUGACGGGGACCCCCACAAGCGGUGGAGCAUGUGGUUUAAUUUGACGCAACGCGAGGAACCUGACCAGCGUUUGACAUCUUAGGAAUGAGACAGAGAUGAUUCAGUGUCCCUUCGGGGAAACCUAAAGACAGGUGGUGCAUGGCUGUCGUCAGCUCGUGUCGUGAGAUGUUGGGUUAAGUCCCGCAACGAGCGCAACGCCUCUUCGUAUGUUACCAUCUUUAAGUUGGGGACUCAUGCGAUACUGCCUGCGAUGAGCAGGAGGAAGGUGGGGAUGACGUCAAGUCAUCAUGCCCCUUAUACGCUGGGCUACACACGUGCUACAAUGGGUAGUACAGAGAGUCGCAAAGCCGCGAGGUGGAGCUAAUCUCAGAAAACUAUUCUUAGUUCGGAUUGUACUCUGCAACUCGAGUACAUGAAGUUGGAAUCGCUAGUAAUCGCGAAUCAGCAAUGUCGCGGUGAAUACGUUCUCGGGUCUUGCACACACCGCCCGUCUGCACACACCGCCCGUCUGCACACACCGCCCGUC